RNAcentral lists this ribosomal RNA (337 nucleotides) under Priestia megaterium. RNAcentral's name for it is "bacterial SSU rRNA". It matches the Rfam family "Bacterial small subunit ribosomal RNA", at positions 1103 to 1441 of the family's 1533-position model. Lineage: Bacteria; Bacillati; Bacillota; Bacilli; Caryophanales; Bacillaceae. The record is from RNAcentral.
CCUUGAUCUUAGUUGCCAGCAUUCAGUUGGGCACUCUAAGGUGACUGCCGGUGACAAACCGGAGGAAGGUGGGGAUGACGUCAAAUCAUCAUGCCCCUUAUGACCUGGGCUACACACGUGCUACAAUGGAUGGUACAAAGGGCUGCAAGACCGCGAGGUCAAGCCAAUCCCAUAAAACCAUUCUCAGUUCGGAUUGUAGGCUGCAACUCGCCUACAUGAAGCUGGAAUCGCUAGUAAUCGCGGAUCAGCAUGCCGCGGUGAAUACGUUCCCGGGCCUUGUACACACCGCCCGUCACACCACGAGAGUUUGUAACACCCGAAGUCGGUGGAGUAACCG